Molecule: long non-coding RNA, 1075 nt
Filed under: Canis lupus familiaris (dog)
Lineage: Eukaryota; Metazoa; Chordata; Mammalia; Carnivora; Canidae
Description: lncRNA (ENSCAFG00000056130.1, ENSCAFG00845026858.1)
Source: RNAcentral
CUUUCUGGCAAAAUACCAUUUAUCCUUCACGAUUCAGGAUCCUUUGUCAAAUCCAGCUUUCCCAAACAGAGUAAAUCUGUCAGGCCCAUCUCUGAACCCCCACACCGCUUUGUACAUCCUUCUACCCGAGGAAGGAAAAGAAAGAAACAUUCUAGGAAUGCCUGUGGCUGAAUACCAGGCUCUAGGUUAAAUGCUUGAGAACACUGAAUAUUAUUUGAGCCCUGGGGUCCAAGAAAGCAGCCACAGUUGAGAAACUUCCCCACCUUUUUGUGUUCCCAAGAACAGCUAAUUUUUUUUAAGAUUUUAUUUAUUUAUUCAUGAGAGAUACACAUAGAGAGAGGCAAAGACAUAGGCAGAGGGAGAAGCAGGCUCCAUGCAGGGAACCCUGUGUGGGACUCAAUCCUGGGACUCUAGGAUCACACCCUGCAGCAAAGGCAGACACUUAACUGCUGAGCCACCCAGGAGUCCCAAGAACAGCUAAUUGUAAAGGACCAUAUUGCCCUGGCAUAUUCUGAGAUAAGACCCUAUCCAUAUUUCCUCAUGGUUCCCAUAAGACUGAUGAUGACUCCUUUGUUCACCUGCCUCUAUAAAACUUUCCCUUCUUUUCUUUGAGCAGUCUCUUUAAGGCUAUAGUCUGAAUAAAAUCAUUUCUUUAAUUCUGUGAAGUUAGUUUUGUUCUUAGUAGUUUACAGAUGAGAAACUGAAGCUCAGAUGCAUGGCCUAAGAUGGUACCAUUAAGGAGGAAAUAUGAUUUCUUCCCAGUCUGUGUGGCUUCCACUAGGUUCUUUCCACAACUCUUAUAAAUGGAAUGUGACUUAGCCAUGCAGGUAAGCAGGCCAUGAAACCUUCAAAAGCAGGGACAUCCAGGUCUCAAAUUCAUCUUAAUCCUUGUUUGCUAAAUGAAUUCCUGAAUAAACUGUGUCAAUUCCCACUGAGGUAGUGUUACAGUGUUUCUCACUUCCUUUUUAACCUAAGCUUCUUUUUAAUACAUAGGAAAAACAAAUAUGAAAGGCUGAAAUUUUGAGCCAAAGGAGAAUUUACAUUUUAUUUUAUUUAUUUUUUUAAAGAUUUAUUU